GACGAACGUUGGCGGCGUGCUUAAUACAUGCAAGUCAACUGAAGCAGUGGUAGCAAUAUCGCUGUGGAGGUGGCGCACGGGUGAGUAACACGUAGGUAAUCUGCCUUCAGGUCUGGCAUAACUCCGGGAAACCGGGGCUAAUAGCAGAUGAUGCAGCGGCUCGACAUCGAGACAGUUGUUAAAGCUAUGGCGCCUGAAGAUGAGCCUGCGUCUGAUUAGCUAGUUGGCGGGGUAACGGCCCACCAAGGCAACGAUCAGUAGCUGGUCUGAGAGGAUGAUCAGCCACACUGGAACUGAGACACGGUCCAGACUCCUACGGGAGGCAGCAGUAAGGAAUAUUGCUCAAUGGGAGAAAUCCUGAAGCAGCAACGCCGCGUGAGGGACGAAGGGCUUUGGCUUGCAAACCUCUGUAGUGAGAGAAAAAAAUCCCAAUCUUUGGGACAUGAUGGUGUCUCAAAAGUAAGCCCCGGCUAACUACGUG
Molecule: ribosomal RNA, 481 nt
Filed under: uncultured bacterium
Lineage: Bacteria
Description: partial 16S ribosomal RNA
Rfam family: Bacterial small subunit ribosomal RNA
Source: RNAcentral